This 455-nucleotide ribosomal RNA is filed under the name uncultured bacterium. Its description in RNAcentral is "bacterial SSU rRNA". It matches the Rfam family "Bacterial small subunit ribosomal RNA", at positions 917 to 1382 of the family's 1533-position model. The record is from RNAcentral.
GGGCCCGCACAAGCAGCGGAGCGUGUGGUUUAAUUCGAGGCUACACGAAGAACCUUACCUGGGUUUGACAUGAGGCUAGUAGGGAAGCGAAAGCAGACCGACCCGCAAGGGAGGCCUGACAGGUGCUGCAUGGCUGUCGUCAGCUCGUGCCGUGAGGUGUUAGGUUAAGUCCUGUAACGAGCGCAACCCCCGGGUCUAGUUACACGUUGUCUAGACCGACUGCCCGUGACAAGCGGGAGGAAGGUGGGGACGACGUCAAGUCAGCAUGGCCUUUAUAUCCAGGGCUACACACACGCUACAAUGGCCGGUACAAUGGGUCGCCAAGCCGCAAGGCGGAGCCAAUCCAGACAAAGCCGGUCACAGUUCGGAUUGGGGGCUGCAACCCGCCCCCAUGAAGUCGGAGUUGCUAGUAACCGCGGGUCAGCCAUACCGCGGUGAAUACGUUCCCGGGCCUU